RNAcentral lists this long non-coding RNA (419 nucleotides) under Homo sapiens (human). Its description in RNAcentral is "long non-coding RNA NONHSAT175346.1". Lineage: Eukaryota; Metazoa; Chordata; Mammalia; Primates; Hominidae. The record is from RNAcentral.
GCCAUCUUCCCUCCCCAUUAAGGAGACAGCUGUCUUUGCGGGCAUCCAGGAGACUGGACAGAGAGAAGACAAAAAAUAAACAUCACUGAGUGCCAGCCUUCAGGACUAAGGCUCAGAAAUGUGAAAUAGUCCGGCUGGAUUGGAACAGCAAACCCUCUCUGCCUGCCUCUGGCCUCUUCUUGCCCCCUUGGAUUGAAGAAUUGGCUCAGGGUGCUGCCUCUGACAUAGGUUGCAAAGGGUGAUUCUGCCCCAUGCCAAACCCUUUCGCGAUGAUUGUCUCAUGUGACGCUUACAAUUCUGGGAGCCAGGCAGGACAGAUAGAGUGAUCAUCUCCAUUUUAUGGAUGAGGAAAUUGAUCCCCAAGAGUUGAAGUGACUUGCCCAAGGACAUGGUGAGUAAGGAGUCUGGACUUCCCGCAG